This 390-nucleotide ribosomal RNA is filed under the name Triticum aestivum (bread wheat). Its description in RNAcentral is "partial small subunit ribosomal RNA". The record is from RNAcentral. Lineage: Eukaryota; Viridiplantae; Streptophyta; Magnoliopsida; Poales; Poaceae.
AUGGAGGCCGGCCGGAUCGGUGUGGCGCGGCACACCACACCGGAGCUUGAUGCUGUGCUGGUCGUCGACAACGACGCAACUCCGACGGGACCUAGACGCCCAAGAUCUGACCCCCCAUCCUUCCUUCCUUGUGUUCACGGAACGACAACGGCAAGGGGACGACCGAUGUGCGUGGUGGACCAGGAGGUGGAGAACCGUCUCGCCCUCCUUGUUCACAUCACCUCCCUUUGCUUUCCCUUGGACACUUGGAGAGAGAGAAGGAAGAUGGCGGACGAGGGGAUGGCCAAUUGCAUCGACAUCAUCCUCGCCAUCAUCCUGCCGCCGCUCGGCGUCAUCCUCAAGUUCGCCUGUGGGGUGAGUUUCCCGAGCUUUGUCCCGGUCCCGUGCUAG